Molecule: RNA transcript, 745 nt
Organism: Xenia sp. Carnegie-2017
Lineage: Eukaryota; Metazoa; Cnidaria; Anthozoa; Malacalcyonacea; Xeniidae
Exons: 4
Source: RefSeq, a predicted model, not a curated record
CAGGUUAUCGAUGACCACAUCAUUCCAAGCAACAGGUAAAAGUUUAUACUUCAACAAUCACAAAUUGGUUGUACACAACAAUUAUUUUAAUGAUGGAAAUAAAGAAAUAGUUUUGUUGUGUGUUAUCCAACAACAACAAUGAUUUCCUAUCAUAUUUUUUUGUUGCUAUUCGUGGCUCUAACAAGUGAAACAGAUAACUUUUUUUAGCUUUGUCAAUACCGAGAGGUCAUCUUCAACAUCUUCAACACAAAAUGACAAAAAGAAACUUUGUGCCAAAUAGAUUUGACAUUGUUGACAACGAAAUAAAACACGUCAUCCAACAGGAAGUGAAAACUGCUUUAAAGAAAAAUUUUGUUCCAAAUAAUCCUUUAUUUGCAGCAAACAAGUGGGGGCAAUCUAGCUCAUCUCGUUAUCCUGAGAAUCAGCCAAAAAUGAUAUAUGGUAUGGACUACGAUCAAAUCAACCCUUCGAGAUCAGACCCCGGAUAUCUGGUUUUGGAUCUUAAAAAGCUUGCCCAAGGAUAUUUGAAAUUUCAUAAACAUCCACUUAAUGGCCAAAGGCAAAAAACAAACAAGAAAUCAUCACCAAACUUUCAACAACAACAACAGAAGAAUCCGUUUUACAGAAAUUUUGGACAAUAUUAUAAUAACAAUAAUAAUAAUUAUAUAGGUUACCCUACAUAUUAUCCAUUUCAUCAGCAGCCGUAUUAUCAACAGAAUAUUCAAUAAAAAUAGCUAAAACAUAA